This 453-nucleotide ribosomal RNA is filed under the name uncultured Campylobacterota bacterium. Its description in RNAcentral is "bacterial SSU rRNA". It matches the Rfam family "Bacterial small subunit ribosomal RNA", at positions 8 to 459 of the family's 1533-position model. The record is from RNAcentral. Lineage: Bacteria; Pseudomonadati; Campylobacterota.
AGAGUUUGAUCAUGGCUCAGAGUGAACGCUGGCGGCGUGCUUAACACAUGCAAGUCGAACGGUAACAGAGGGUACUUGUACUCUGCUGACGAGUGGCGCACGGGUGAGUAAUAUAUAGAUAAUGUGCCCCUUAGUCUGGGAUAGCCACUGGAAACGGUGAUUAAUACUAGAUACUCCUUCUUGUCACAAGAUAAGAUGGGAAAGUUUUUCGCUAAGGGAUCUGUCUAUAUCCUAUCAGUUAGUUGGUGAGGUAAGAGCUCACCAAGACGAUGACGGGUGGCGGGUUUGAGAGGAUGAUCCGCCACACUGGUACUGAGACACGGACCAGACUCCUACGGGAGGCAGCAGUGAGGAACAUUGCACAAUGGGGGAAACCCUGGUGCAGCAACGCCGCGUGGAGGAUGACGCAUUUCGGUGUGUAAACUCCUUUUAUGAGUCAAGAAANGGACGGAG